Molecule: ribosomal RNA, 221 nt
Filed under: uncultured bacterium
Lineage: Bacteria
Description: partial 16S ribosomal RNA
Rfam family: Bacterial small subunit ribosomal RNA
Source: RNAcentral
CGACGUGGAUAACCUGCCUCACACAGGGGAGUAACAGUUGGAAACGGCUGCUAAUACCGCAUAAGCGCACAGCACCGCAUGGUGCAGUGUGAAAAACUCCGGUGGUGUGAGAUGGAUCCGCGUCUGAUUAGCUUGUUGGCGGGGUAACGGCCCACCAAGGCGACGAUCAGUAGCCGGCCUGAGAGGGCGACCGGCCACAUUGGGACUGAGACACGGCCCAG